CUCAUUUGCACGACCACACUUGAAGCUGUUCAAGGGUCCUGGAGUGUUGCAAACAUUUUUGAGGCAAGCUGACACCAUGAUCUAUCAACGCUUCAUGCUUCUGGCACUUGUAGUGCUCCUGUCCAUCACAUAUGAUGCCAAUGCCGCUGUUGCAUUUCCCUGGGGCUGCACCGACUACAAAGGCGUCUGCAGACGCUUCUGCCUCCCUGCAGAAUUCCCAUUUGCAAUCUUCAAGUGCGGAGGUGCUGGAUUUAUAUGCUGCCUCUCACAUAUUUAAACAACAUGGAGAGUCACAUACUCUCAGUUAGUAGUCUCGCUUCAUUUUGAAUACUCUUGUGAUUCCAAUAUACCAAGGGGACCCGAUCGGCACAUGCGCCAGUGUCAGCAGGCCUUCCUGUACACAUGUCCCCUCCACUGAUGGAUUAGUUCCUUACUGAUGACCCAGGCAUGCGGGGCUGCAGGAGUAAACUCAUUUUAAAUAUAUUUUCUUUUUAACUACCUCUUCUUUAAAGAAAAA
Molecule: long non-coding RNA, 517 nt
Organism: Alosa sapidissima (American shad)
Lineage: Eukaryota; Metazoa; Chordata; Actinopteri; Clupeiformes; Clupeidae
Exons: 3
Source: RefSeq, a predicted model, not a curated record